AACGCACAUUGCGCCCUUGGGUAUUCCUGGGGGCAUGCCUGUUUGAGAACCAUGACGUACCUCACCCAAAACCUCUUUAGUUCAUCGGAGCUCUUGAGGUUGCGGCGUGGACUUGGGCCAUCUCAACGCUCUUUUGCGGUGAGCGGCCUUAAAAGCAGAUGAUCGGGAAAUCAGUGAAACCGUGCUCAAGACGUGAUAAUAUGGUUGCUUUUCGAAGCUUCCGUUUGAACGUCGAGAAUCAUGCCGGGAUUAGCGAGGAGAAGGCCUUUUCGUUUUCUUUUUGAAGAUUUCGCGACUGCAUCAAACGACAUGCCAGGCGGCUUUUGUUCACUCUUUUUGUGAAACACAAAAGUCGAACACCUGAACAACUUGGUCUCAAAUCAGGCAAGAAAACCCGCUGAACUUAA
Molecule: unclassified non-coding RNA, 407 nt
Filed under: uncultured fungus
Lineage: Eukaryota; Fungi
Description: partial contains 5.8S ribosomal RNA, internal transcribed spacer 2, and large subunit ribosomal RNA
Source: RNAcentral